Molecule: long non-coding RNA, 201 nt
Filed under: Elaeis guineensis (African oil palm)
Lineage: Eukaryota; Viridiplantae; Streptophyta; Magnoliopsida; Arecales; Arecaceae
Description: long non-coding RNA (EGUI_LNC077902)
Source: RNAcentral
GGCAUAGAGUCUUCAUCUCAUAGGACUCUAUCCUUAUCCACUUGGGGUGCAUGCCAUAUCUGAUUAUGGCACCUACUUUGAGGGUAAAAUUAGCAGAUGGACACUCCACUAAAACUCUCCAAUGAUCUUUUGCCAAGUGGCCUUCAGUCCAAGGUCUAUGGGUCAACGUUUGACCAAUGUCCUAAAACGAAAAUGGCNNNN